Pseudogymnoascus pannorum is the source of this 117-nucleotide transfer RNA. It matches the Rfam family "tRNA". Rfam says of the family: Transfer RNA (tRNA) molecules are approximately 80 nucleotides in length. Their secondary structure includes four short double-helical elements and three loops (D, anti-codon, and T loops). Further hydrogen bonds mediate the characteristic L-shaped molecular structure. tRNAs have two regions of fundamental functional importance: the anti-codon, which is responsible for specific mRNA codon recognition, and the 3' end, to which the tRNAs corresponding amino acid is attached (by aminoacyl-tRNA synthetases). tRNAs cope with the degeneracy of the genetic code in two manners: having more than one tRNA (with a specific anti-codon) for a particular amino acid; and 'wobble' base-pairing, i.e. permitting non-standard base-pairing at the 3rd anti-codon position. NCBI's taxonomy places the organism in Eukaryota, Fungi, Ascomycota, Leotiomycetes, Thelebolales, Thelebolaceae. The record is from Rfam.
GGACAGAUGGCCGAGAUGGUUAUGGCGCCAGGUUAAGGUUAUACCUUAAUACAUGUGAUUUAUUCAUAUAGUUUCCUGGUCACGAAAGUGGCGUGGGUUCGAGUCCCACUCUGUUCA